CCCGUGUGCUGACUGAGAGUUUUAUAAAGCCUGUAAUCACUACGGACCCUUUGAAAAUACCUUAAUGCUUUUUAAAUCAUGGCUCGCCACAGAUAAUCGUGGAGUAAAUGGUCAAUUUAAUUUUAUAAAGUAGUCACUAUGUUUUGAAGUUAAAUGCUCUGUGUUCAUAUAAAACAUAUAUACCGAAACUAAAAGAGACAUUAGUCGUGCGAUUCGCUGUUUAUGCAGACAUGGCACCAUUCGAAUUGACAAGGCUGAAUCUUCUGAUCGUGCUUUCACUUGGAUUUUAUGCCAACAGCGAAUUCGAAUUCACUAACAUAAAAUGUACACCCUUGGACAAAGAAUUUAUGGAUAUGGAAGCUUGCUUUUUGAAAUCAAAAAAUCGGACAUACAAGUAUUUAACCCUUAGAACCAAAUUUCACCAAUUGCCGAUUAAUGAUCUUUCGGUAAGGGUCGAGGUGUUACAAAAGUUAAGUGGCUACAAACCGUUUCUCUAUAACUUUACGGCCGAUGCUUGUCAGUUCCUGAAUGGAAGGCGAAAUCCUUUGGUUAGAUUCUUUUACGAUAUGUUUGCCUCCUACUCCAACGCGAACCAUUCAUGUCCUUACAAUCACGAUGUACUCGUGGAAAAGCUGCCUAUCAGCUUUUUGAAGUAUCGGACAACCGUUGUUCUUCCAGUUCCGGAAGGAGAUUACCAAGUGCACAGUGUUUACACGGUCCGCGGUAAAGCACGCCUGGAUCUUAAAGUUUAUGCAAGAAUAUACUAGGAAAUUCCGUAAAGCAAGAGAACCUAGACUCAAAAACAAAAUCCCCUCUCAAAACAGUUCUCCCAAUCUUAAAACUGAUCCAAGAUCGAUACAAUCUCAAGUUCUCAAUUCAAGAUGAAUUAUUGUAAGACUAAUUUUUUUUUGGCUUGUGACAUCUAACUCUAAUGUCAAAUAAUUGCAUAAGAGCACUAAAAUAAUGCAAUCAACGUUUUGUGUUAUCAGAAAAACUUUUUGCAAUCGGGAUAUUUCAUUUUGUCACCGUUUCUUUUUACUUAUACGGCUCUUUUUGUAUGUGACGAAUUUUAAUGUUUUUGCACAAAUAAGAAAUUAAUAAUUUUUCCUUCUGCUGAUAUGGACGAAGUUAAAACAAAAAGAAACGCUUGAUUUAAGUGCCUCAACUUUCGAAUACCCGUUUAAUUUUAAAUUCAAAUUCCAAUAACUUUUGGCCAUGCCAAGGCCGUUUUAACUUAGUUAUUCAUAGCUUGUAAAAUAUGAAGGCGAUUGGAACAAUU
This is an RNA transcript of Drosophila subpulchrella, 1279 nucleotides long. RefSeq lists it as uncharacterized. NCBI's taxonomy places the organism in Eukaryota, Metazoa, Arthropoda, Insecta, Diptera, Drosophilidae. The record is from RefSeq and is a predicted model, not a curated record. The transcript is spliced from 4 exons.